UCUCUAGCUUGCUUGCUAGCAUAUAUAUACCUGCCCCUGGAAAUUUCCACUACAUGCAUCUGAGGAAGUGCGUAUUCACCCAUGAAAGCUCAUGCUCCAAAACGUCUGUUAGUCUAUAAGGUGCCACAGGAUUCUUUGCUGCUUUUACAGAUCCAGACUAACACGGCUACCCCUCUGAUACUUGAGAUUUCAGGCAGCAUAACUACAUCACUCUAGGGUGUGAAAAAUCCUCACCCCUGAGCGGCAUAGUUAAGCUGACCUAAGUCCCCAUGUAGACAGUGCUAGGUUGAUGGAAGAAUUCUUCCGUCAACCUAGCUACUGUCUCUGGUGAGAGGGAUUAUCUAUGCCUGUGGGAGAAUCCCUCCCAUUGGCAUAACUAUUCUGUGCUGUAGCAUUUUAAGUGAAGACAAGCCCUAAAUCUCCACUAGAGAAGGUGCCCUAAGCCAUCUUCUGUAAGAAAUACUACUAAAGGAGGUGGUGCUCCCCCUUAUAAUAUUUAGCCCAGUGCUUAAAGCAGUCCUCUAGGAUGUGUGAAAGCCGAGAUCAAUUUCCCAUCCAUCUGAUAUAGAGAUUUGAACAUAGGUCUGCUUUCCUACAAGAGUGCUGCAGCCACUGGGCAAAAGGGGGAUGGGACUUCAGUCUAUCCUGAUGAAGUGAUUCCACUGUGUAUAGUAUUUAAAUAGUCACUGACCCAGAGAGCAAGUGAAAAUGCCUCUAUUGCCCAGGGAUUAGACCACUCAAUUAUGACAGGACAUCCAAGUUCAAGGCCCUCUGCUCUAAUGAAUAUUUAAUUAUUUAUACUCAGUGGAACAGCUUCAACAGGAGAGACUGAGUCAUACUACAGAAUACCCUAUAGCCCACUGAUGAGGGUGCCCUUCUAUGAAGGCGGACCUAAGCUUUUUCACAUCAGGUAGAGAGGAGAAAUGAAGGUGUGUUUCCCUCAUCCUGAGUACUCUAACCUCUUGGAUAGAAAUUAUAAGGGAAGCACCUCCUCCUCUGUCUGUUUUCUGUGGUGUUAGGGGUGCUCUGACAGCAUCUACUAGAUUGGGCCCUGCAUGCAAGAGAGGUGGGGCAGUGCCUAGUUUGACAAUCCUGCUGGGGUCUACAUGUGAGAGAGGCACCUAGACUAAGGUGGCCAUGUACACUUUCACUUGCAAUAGGUACCUAGGGGACUUUUCCAGCAGGAACGUAAGUGCCUACAGAGUUAGGCAGCACCCGGGCUGGGGUUUUGAAGGUCUCACUGUGACUUAUAUUUUGGAUUUAGGCACUAAUGUCAUUCUGAGGAUCUAGCUCUGGGUUCUUUCCCCUGACCCUGUUCAGCUGAGUUACUUGUUGGCUUUUGUGAGGACCAGGUGUCAUGGUAUAAACCCCCACUCUGAACCUUAGCGUCCAAAAGAUGGAGUACCAACAUGAAUUCCUCUAAGCUCAAUUACCAGCUUAGUACUUGUAGCACUGCCACCAACCAGGAAUUUCAGUGCCUGGUACACUCUGGUCCUCCUAAAACCUUGCCGGGGGACCCCCGAGACUGAGUCCCUCUGGAUCUUAACACAAGGAAAGUAAACCCUUUCCCUCGCUGUUGCCUCUCCCAGGCUUCCCCUUCCUGGGUUACCUUGGAAAAUCACUGUGAUUCAAACUCCUUGAAUCUUAAAACAGAGAGGAAAAUUCACCUUCCCCGCUCCUUCUCUCUCCCCCUCCCAGACUCUCCCUGAGAGAGAAAGUAAUCCUAACACAGAGAGAAAAUUAACCUUUCUCUCCCCCUUCCCUCCUUUCUCCCCACCAGUUCCCUGGUGGAUCCAGACCCAGUCCCCUGGGGUCUCACCAGAAUAAAAAAACAAUCAGGUUCUUAAACAAGAAAAGCUUUUAAUUAAAGAAAGAAAAAACAGUAAAAAUUAUCUUUGCAUAUUCAAGAUGGAAUAUGUUACAGGGUCUUUCAGCUAUAAACACUGGGAAUACCCUCCCAGCCUAAGUAUACAAGUACAAAUUAAAAUCCUUUCAGCAAAAUACAAAUUUGAACUCCUUCCAGCCAAAUACACAUUUGCAAAUAGAGAAAACAAAAAUAAGCCUAACUCGCUUUAUCUACCUAGUACUUACUAUUCUGGACAUAUAAGAGACUGUAUUGGAGAGAAACCUGGUUGCACGUCUGGUCACUCUCAGAACCCAGAGAGAACAACAACCAAAUACUAACAGCACACACAAAAACUUCCCUCCCUCAAGAUUUGAAAGUAUCCUGUCCCCUGAUUGGUCCUCUAGUCAGGUGACAGCCAGGCUCACUGAUCUUGUUAACCCUUUCCAGGCAAAAGAGAUAUGAAGUACUUCUGUUCUAUUAACUCUUACUUAUCUGUUUAUGACACCAGGUGAUCUUGUUUUCAACUGAUCCCUGACUUCACACAUCAGCUUAAAGAGGGAGUGUUCUAAGGUGACAUUGGAGUAGUCAAAUAUUUUACUGUAAAACAGUGUGUGAACACUACAUUUGAUGAGCUCUCUUUCAGUGUGGGGCACUUUUACUGUUUUAACCUGGAAGAAAGUUUUUCUUGCAUGGUUUCUAUCUAGGUAUUGGAGUGUUCUAUUUAUUACUAUCAUUCCAUUAAUGUCAGAAAUGUCCGUAAUGUUUGGAUUCUGUUCUGUUGCCAAACAUUGUUCAGGUCUGUCGCAUCUUACGCGCAUUUAACAUGAGCGAUUUCAGCUUUGCAUGAUUGGGAGAAAGGAAAAAAAAACAACCUGGCGAUUCCACCAACGUGAGAUGCGAAUAUGCUGUUCCCAUUGAAAUAUUUUUUGGGGGGACCUGACAGCAACAGCAGGUCUUUAGGACUGUGAUAAGGUUCUCCCCUAUAACAACCCUGGAGAGUUGGCAAAAAAACAAAGUUUCAUUCUGGGGCAGACACACUAUUUAAUAUGAGAUGGGAGAAGCGAAUCUGCUGUUCCCACUACAUUACUCAGUCCCCCUGUGCCUCUGAUACUGUGCGCAUCUUGCCGCGCUGAGUGAGACUCUACUGUGCCUGUACUAUUUAAAGAGACAGUACUUAUUUUUCAUACUGUAUAACAUGGCCCCUAAAUGCAAGGUACCUACUUCAUCUGGUGCUCAACCGAAGAAACAGCGAUGUGUUCCAACGCUGGAGGAAAAACUGGCUGUGUUGGACUUAUUGAAAGACAGUAUGUCCAUCGCCAACAUGACGCGUAAAUACGGCCGCAACGAAUCUAGCAUCCAUGCCAUCAAGAUUUGAGAGACAAAUUCAUCAAGCCAUGGCAUCAAGUGCUCCAGUCACUGCUAAGGUGAUGAGCCAAGUGCGUGAUAAGACUUUAGUGAAGACUGAAAAGGCAUUUCACUUAUGGCUGGAAGACAUGAACUGUAAACGUGUGCCUAUCAAUAGCAACGUUGCGAGAAAAAGCUCUUAGCAUCUAUGCACUGUUCAAACCUCCCACCGAAGAGGGACAGCCAUCUGAUAAGGAAUUCAAAGCCAGCCAAGGUUGGCUUAACAGUUUUAGGAGCCACUUCAACCUCAAAAAUGGGCAGACUACUGGUGAAGCUGCAUCUGCCAAUGAGGAUGCAGCAAAAGCCUACCCCCGAACAAUUAAAGAAAAUCAUAGAGGAAAGGAGCUAUCUUCCAGAACAAGUUUUUAAUGCUGACAAGACUGAGCUCUUCUGGAAAAAAAUGCCCACCCACACUUACAUUUCAAAAUCAGAAAGACAAGCCCCUGACUUCAAAGCAGAUAAAGACCGUGUGACUGUGUUGCUUUGUGGCAAUGCAGCUGGGCAUUUAAUAAAGCCGGGCUUGCUCUACAGGGCUGCAAAUCCCCAUGCCCUAAAAUGCGAGAACAAAAAUCUCCUGCCUGUGUUUUGGCAAUCAAAUAAAAAGGCUUGGGUGAUGUCAGCAUUAUUUCUGGAUUGGUUCCACAAGUGUUUCAUUCUGGAGGUCAAGCAGUCCCUUGAAGAAAAAGGACUUGACUUUAAAGUGUUGCUGAUCGUAGACAAUGCUCCUGGCCACCUUGCGGCACCCCAGUUUUCACAUAAUGACAUUGAAGUCAUCUUCCCUCCCCCCACAAUACCUCCUCCAACCUCUCGACCAAGGCGUCAUUAGCUGUUUCAAGGCCACAUACACGAGGCUUACAUUCUCACGGAUCCUUACCGCUACGACUGCUGAUCCCAAUGUUAAUGUGAUGGAGUGUUGGAAGUCCUUCAACAUUGCUGAUUGCAUCACUUAUAUUAAACAGGCAAUGGAUGCAAUCAAGCCUGAAACAGUCAAUGCAUGUUGGAGAAACCUGUGGGAAGACUGUGAGAGUGAUUUUAAGGGUUUCCUGACCAUUGAUAAAGAAGUGCAACUCAUUGUUCAGGUGGCCAGGCAAGUGGAUGGUGAUGGCUUCGUCAGCAUCCUCGCAGAAGAAAUUGAAUUAAUUGAGGGCCAUAGAGAAACUUUGACUAACAAAGAGUUUAGAGGAACUGAUAAAAUCGUCUACAGAAAACGAAGAUGAUGACGAACAGGAAGAGCCAGCAACUUGGAAUCUUCAUAAAUUUUCGGAAGUGUUCCAAGCAGCAGAACACUUGAAUGAUUUAAUUUCUGAAUAUGAUUCCUCUAUGGAACGAAGCCUCAAAAUCACAUGUAGUAUUACGGAUGAUUUGAGACUGUGCCAAGAAAUGUUUGAGGAGCUCAAGAGACAACAGCGACAGUUGCCAAUCACCAUGUUUUUAAAGAAAAAACUAGCAGCAGCAGAGCCUACACAAUCAACUUCUCCAGCUGAACCAGAGCCAACUACUUCUUCGUCUGUGACUCGCUCUCCAUCACCCAAGCUUGGCCCAUCCUCUCCUGGAUCGACAUCAAGCCCUGACAACUCAAUAAUAGUGUUGUCAGGGGAAGAAGACUAAUCAUUGUAGUAUGUACAGUACAAGACUAGCAAGAAUAUCCAGGAUGACUGGUGACUGUUCAGGUUUACUGUACUGUACUGUUUUCAUUCUUUCAUUCUUCUGUCAUAUUAUUAAAUACUGUAAAAU
This is a long non-coding RNA of Gopherus flavomarginatus (Mexican gopher tortoise), 4984 nucleotides long. RefSeq lists it as uncharacterized. The transcript has 2 exons. The record is from RefSeq and is a predicted model, not a curated record. NCBI's taxonomy places the organism in Eukaryota, Metazoa, Chordata, Testudines, Testudinidae.